Molecule: ribosomal RNA, 588 nt
Filed under: uncultured bacterium
Lineage: Bacteria
Description: bacterial SSU rRNA
Rfam family: Bacterial small subunit ribosomal RNA
Source: RNAcentral
CCCGCACAAGCGGAGGAACAUGUGGUUUAAUUCGAUGAUACGCGAGGAACCUUACCUGGGCUUAAAUGUAUUGUGCAUAGAGUAGAAAUACUCUUUUCCUUCGGGACUCUUUACAAGGUGCUGCAUGGUUGUCGUCAGCUCGUGCCGUGAGGUGUCGGGUUAAGUCCCAUAACGAGCGCAACCCUCAUUGUCAGUUGCCAGCACAUAAUGGUGGGGACUCUGAUAAAACUGCCGGUGCAAACCGUGAGGAAGGUGAGGAUGACGUCAAAUCAGCACGGCCCUUAUGUCCAGGGCUACACACGUGUUACAAUGGUCAGUACAGUGGGCAGCUACCACGCGAGUGGAUGCUAAUCUCCAAAACUGAUCUUAGUUCGGAUCGGAGUCUGCAACUCGACUCCGUGAAGCUGGAUUCGCUAGUAAUCGCACAUCAGCCAUGGUGCGGUGAAUACGUUCCCGGGCCUUGUACACACCGCCCGUCAAGCCAUGGAAGCUGGGGGUGCCUGAAGUCCGUGAUCCGCCAUCGGCGGAAGCGGCCUAGGGUAAAACUGGUAACUGGGGCUAAGUCGUAACAAGGUAACCAAGGGCGAA